GCCUUCGUGGUGUAAUGGUCAGCACACUCGGCGCGUGUUCGAGGGGUCCGAGGUUCGAGUCUCGGCGACAGCA
RNAcentral lists this transfer RNA (73 nucleotides) under Stegodyphus mimosarum. It matches the Rfam family "tRNA". From Rfam's summary of the family: Transfer RNA (tRNA) molecules are approximately 80 nucleotides in length. The record is from Rfam by way of RNAcentral. Lineage: Eukaryota; Metazoa; Arthropoda; Arachnida; Araneae; Eresidae.